This 542-nucleotide ribosomal RNA is filed under the name uncultured Bacillus sp. Its description in RNAcentral is "bacterial SSU rRNA". It matches the Rfam family "Bacterial small subunit ribosomal RNA", at positions 41 to 600 of the family's 1533-position model. The record is from RNAcentral. Lineage: Bacteria; Bacillati; Bacillota; Bacilli; Caryophanales; Bacillaceae.
GGCGUGCUACUACUGCUAGUCGAGCGAACACUUCGGUGGUUAGCGGCGGACGGGUGAGUAACACGUGUACCUGCCUGUAAGACUGGGAUAACUUCGAGGAAACCGGAGCUAAUACCUGGAUAAUCCUUUUCCUCACAUGACGUGAAAAGCUGAAAGUCGGUUUCGGCUGACACUUACAGAUGGGCCCGCGUGCGCAUUAGCUAGUUGGUGAGGUAACGGCUCACCAAGGCGACGAUGCGUAGCCGACCUGAGAGGGUGAUCGGCCACACUGGGACUGAGACACGGCCCAGACUCCUACGGGAGGCAGCCGUAGUGGAAUCUUCCACAAUGGGCGAAAGCCUGAUCCAGCAAUGCCGCGUGAGUGAUGAAGGCCUUAGGGUUGUAAAGCUCUUUUACCCGGUGAUGAUAAUGACAGUACCGGGAGAAUAAGCCCCGGCUAACUCCGAUGCCAGCAGCCGCGGUAAUACGGAGGGGGCUAGCGUUGUACGGAAUUACUGGGCGUAAAGCGCACGUAAGCGGCUUAGUAAAGUAAGAGGUGAAAG